Molecule: long non-coding RNA, 876 nt
Organism: Chenopodium quinoa (quinoa)
Lineage: Eukaryota; Viridiplantae; Streptophyta; Magnoliopsida; Caryophyllales; Amaranthaceae
Exons: 3
Source: RefSeq, a predicted model, not a curated record
CAACAUGCUAAAAGGAUGGCUGCAAAAAACCAAGGCCAAUUACCAAAUGCCCAUGAUCUUUUCUUGAAGACACACUUCAAGGAAGUGCCUGGAAAAGGCCAAUUGGCUUCCAACAACAAAGCAAAAAGGAUUGCGGAGACCUACUAGAAGAAGCUCGAAGAAACAAGGAGUCAGGGGAUUCAGAAGAGUCCCAAUGAGUUGUACUGGGAGUCGGUGGGUGGGCGCAAUAAGAAGGGGCGUGUGAAGGGACUUGGCCAAAGUGCAGAGCUCUAAUAUGGCAAACAGAUGGGUCGAGGUUCCCGUUCUUCACAGCAAUACACGUCGUCUGUCAUUUCUCAAAUGCAAGACCAGAUGGAACACAGGGUGCAAGCUCUCCAAACUCAAAUGGAAGCCCGAAUGGCUGAAAUGGAGAGGAGAUACAAGGAGAGUUUCGAUGAGAUGAUGAGUCGUCUCACCAACAACGACUCAUGUUCCACCAUUCAUCCUCAGCAUCGAGACCCUAGGAACGACCCGGGUGGUGGUGGACAGGCCAGGGUUUCUAGGCGAUUGCGUAGCUUAGCUUUAGUCUAGCAUAUAAUCACUCUAACCUAGCUUUUGUUUGGUAUAGAUACCAAAAUGUGGACUAUCUUUUGUACUAGGACAUAAUUAUUAUAUAUAUAUGUACAUAAAUAUAAUUUCGUAGGUCGGUAAUUAAUUUUUUUAAAACAACAAUUUUAGGACUCAAUAUUUGUUUUUUUUUUGUCGAUUUAUCAUUUAAAAAAUUCAGGUUUGGAAAUGCAGAAAAUUACAAAAAUUUGUUUUGGGCUGGAAAUACAAUUUGCGACGGACAAUUUCGUCGUAAUGUACAUAUUUACGACGGGAAAAAUCCUCGCAAAA